RNAcentral lists this ribosomal RNA (253 nucleotides) under uncultured bacterium. RNAcentral's name for it is "partial 16S ribosomal RNA". It matches the Rfam family "Bacterial small subunit ribosomal RNA", at positions 524 to 776 of the family's 1533-position model. The record is from RNAcentral.
UACGGAGGGUGCGAGCGUUGUCCGGAAUCAUUGGGCGUAAAGCGCGUGUAGGCGGUCCGGUAAGUCCGCUGUGAAAGUCGAGGGCUCAACCCUCGAAUGCCGGUGGAUACUGUCGGGCUAGAGUGCGGAAGAGGCGAGUGGAAUUCCUGGUGUAGCGGUGAAAUGCGCAGAUAUCAGGAGGAACACCUAUUGCGAAGGCAGCUCGCUGGGACGUUACUGACGCUGAGACGCGAAAGCGUGGGGAGCAAACAGG